This 604-nucleotide ribosomal RNA is filed under the name Trapezodirus cerberus. RNAcentral describes it as "SSU rRNA". It matches the Rfam family "Eukaryotic small subunit ribosomal RNA", at positions 22 to 602 of the family's 1831-position model. The record is from RNAcentral. Lineage: Eukaryota; Metazoa; Arthropoda; Insecta; Coleoptera; Leiodidae. RNAcentral also lists the same sequence under 1 other name.
AGUCAUAUGCUUGUCUCAAAGAUUAAGCCAUGCAUGUCUCAGUACAAGCCAAAUUAAGGUGAAACCGCGAAAGGCUCAUUAAAUCAGUUAUGGUUCCUUAGAUCGUACCCACAUUUACUUGGAUAACUGUGGUAAUUCUAGAGCUAAUACAUGCCAACAGAACUCCGACCGGAGACGGAAGGAGUGCCUUUAUUAGAUCAAAACCAAUCGGUGGCGCGGCCUCGGCCGUGUCAUCGUACAACAUGGUGAAUCUGAAUAACGUUUGCUGAUCGCACGGUCUCGCACCGGCGACGCAUCUUUCAAAUGUCUGCCUUAUCAACUGUCGAUGGUAGGUUCUGCGCCUACCAUGGUUGUAACGGGUAACGGGGAAUCAGGGUUCGAUUCCGGAGAGGGAGCCUGAGAAACGGCUACCACAUCCAAGGAAGGCAGCAGGCGCGCAAAUUACCCACUCCCGGCACGGGGAGGUAGUGACGAAAAAUAACGAUACGGGACUCAUCCGAGGCCCCGUAAUCGGAAUGAGCACACUUUAAAUCCUUUCACGAGGAUCAAUCGGAGGGCAAGUCAGGUGCCAGCAGCCGCGGUAAUUCCUGCUCCGAUAGCGUAU